GAAGUAUACCAUGUAGCAUUAAGCUUCUAACUUAAAUUCUUAGUGGUGAAACUCCAUUAAUACUUCU
RNAcentral lists this transfer RNA (67 nucleotides) under Ceruchus minor. RNAcentral describes it as "tRNA-Ser". Lineage: Eukaryota; Metazoa; Arthropoda; Insecta; Coleoptera; Lucanidae. The record is from RNAcentral.